This 508-nucleotide long non-coding RNA is filed under the name Homo sapiens (human). RNAcentral's name for it is "HSALNT0396929". The record is from RNAcentral. Lineage: Eukaryota; Metazoa; Chordata; Mammalia; Primates; Hominidae.
GUUGAACUCUGUGAGUUGCAUACACACAACACAAAGAAGUUACUGAGAAUUCUUCUUUCUAGCAUAAUAUGAAGAAAUCCCGUUUCCAACGAAGGCCUCAAAGAGGUCUGAAUAUCCAAUUGCAGAUUUUACAAACAGAGUGUUUCCUAACUGCUCUAUGAAAAGGAAGGUUAAACUCUGUGAGUUGAACGCACACAUCACAAAGCAGUUUCUGAGAAUCAUUCUGUCUAGUUUUUAUACGAAGAUAUUUCCUUUUCUACCACUGACCUCAAAGCGGCUGAAAUCUCCACUUACAAAUUCCACAAAAAGAGUGUCUCAAAUCUGCUCUGUGUAAAGAACCGUUCAACUCUGUGAGUUGAAUACACACAACACAAGGAAGUUACUGAGAAUUCUUCUGUCUAGCAUAAUAUAAAGAAAUCCCGUUUCCAACGAAGGCCUCAAAGAGGUCUGAAUAUCCACUUGUAGACUUUACAAACAGAGUGUUUCCUAACUGCUCUAUGAAAAGAAA